GGCAAUGUCAGGGGGGUGCAGCAAGCAAUACAAAAGGGACAUUGCAGCCCUAACAGGGCCAUACACACAGACUGCACGGGCAACGGACAAGGCUUCCGCUCCUGCUACUUGUAGGGAUUUAGUCAGACUUUAGCCAGAGACACAAUGGCUUCCAGUGGCAGAUGAUGCUAUGAUAUUGCUGACUCUCAUGCCAAGGAUAAUACCUAGCAGUGUAUAUACUUACAUCAUAUUGGGAGGGGGACUGAAAAGCAGAAUGCCAACUGAUUUGUCUCAGCUGUGUAAGUUUGAGGACAAUAGUUAUUUUAGAGGUAAAGAGAUAAAAUAAAGGUUUUUGUUUUGGUUUUUAGAAGUUACCAUAACAUUUGAAGUAUAAAUUAGUAGAGGAAAAUAGACUAGGCCUUCAAACUGAACUUUUUUUGUAAAAGUUUUCAUUCAUUGUGAUGACGUACACUGUUUGGCCACAUUGUGCAGCAGACACAGAAAACGUCUGGAGGAAAAUGAGAUGGAAUAGCAAAUAGCAGACUUGGUGCAACUUGAAUCUGAUAGAAGUCAGCAAGAUUCUCCGGAUUACAGGCUGCAAUGGCUGGUCAAACGGAACCAAGUCCGUUUCCCAAGGAGGUUUGGUCCCCUUCAACCAGCUACUGCAGUUCUGAAUGCCAUCGUUACCCGGGUGACGUCUUUCUUCAGUGUGUGAAAUAGAAAUCAGCAUAAAUUUGUUAGAUAUAUUACAGAAGAAAGAUGAUUUGAUCAAAAAGUGCAAUACUAAAAAAACAACAAUAGUCACUCAAUCUCCUUUCAUUUCUGAUUUGUUGUCAGCCACAAAAAUGUGUACAUUAAAGGGACAUUAAAUACUAAAUACAUGCAAGAUAGAAUGAUAUAUUUAAAGGGCCAUAAUAGUUGUGCUAAUUCAUUAGAGCAUGCAAUUUUAAGACUAUUGACCCUACACUACUUUUUGUUUAACCCAAACAAAGCAAUUAAACACACAGUAGAAGUACAAUUCUGUACCCAGAGAGCACUGCAAACUACCGCUGAUUUGAUCAACAGUGAUAAUUACACAAUUGUGAAACUGAUGCUGCUGAUUGGAUCAUCAAUAGUUUCUGAGCAGCACUUCUACUGUGUGUUUAACCUCUUUGUGGAACAUUAACACACAGUAGUGCAGGGUUAAUAAUCUUAAAGGGAUACUGAACCCAAUUUUUUCAUUCAUGAUUCAGAUAGAGAGGCAUAUUUAAGAAAGGUCUUGCGGACCUGAUCCGACAGUGCAGAGAGCAAUGCACUCUCUGCAUUUAACAUUGCACCAGCAGCUCACAAGAGCUGCUGGUGCAACGCCGCCCCUUUCUGACUCGCAGCCAAUCGGCCGCCAGCAGGGAGGGGUCAAUCAACCCGAUCGUACUUGAUCGGGUUGAAUUGUUGCGAUUCCUGUCCGCCUGCUCAGAGCAGGCAGACAGGGUUAUGGAGCAGUGGGGGUUAUGAAACACGGGGCAUCAAGCUCCAUUCGGAGCUUGAUAGAUAGGCCCCAGAGUAUGCAAUUUUAAGCAAAUUUCUAAAUUACUAAUAUUAUAUUGUUUUCGUUCUCUUGGUAUCUUUAUUUGAAAAAGCAGGAAUGUAAGCUUACAAGUCAGACAAUUUUUGGUUCAGCACCCUGGAUAGCGCUUGCUGAUUAGUGGGUACAUUUAAGGCUGUGACACACUGCAAGUGAUGCGGCGCGAGGCGAAGCAUCUGCUUCACUUCGCGCCGCAUCACUUCUGAAGUUCAGAGAUUUCAUCUCUGAGCACUCAGCUAUGCGACCUGACGCAGCAGAGUGCUCAGAGAUGAAAAGGCAGGACACACUGAGUGCGCACAGCCGCAUCUACACGCUGCGCACCGCUCCGCUUGCAGUGUAACACAGUCUUUAGACACAAUCAGCAAGCUCUACCCAGGUGCUGAACCAAAGAUGGGCCGGCUCCUAAGCUUACAUUCCUUCUUUUCCAAAUAAAGAUACCAAGAGAACGAAGAUAAAUUGAUAACAGGAGUAAAUUAGAAAGUUGCUUAAAAUUGCAUGCUCUAUAUGAAUCAUGAAAUAAAAAGAAAAUGGGUUCAGUGUCCCUUUAAGGUUACUUGCUCCGACAAAUUAAAACAUUUAUUUUUUUUACUAUUAUGGUCCUCUAAAGCAAAGAUUAGCCUGAGAAUAACACACACAUGUAUUUUUUAUAAUUAUAUUAUGUAUUUACAUUUGAAAAAGUAGGUGUAACAUUUUAGUUUCCUUAAAGUUCCAUAAUACCCAAAUGUUUAAACACUUGAAAGUGAUGCAGCAUAGCUGUAAAAAGCUGAUAGAAAAUAUCACCUGAACAUCUCUAUGUAAAAAAGAAAGAUAUUUUACCUCAAAAGUUCCACAGUAGCCACAUCCCAUUGUAAAGGACUUCUAAGCAGCAUAUUAGUAUGUCUGUCUUGGGAUAGCUAAGAGGAUGAGCCUUGUGUACUCUCAUAUUAUUUCCCUAUUCAGUUUAAAGGAAGUUUACAAUGAAAUCUCAUGAGAGUUAAGUCAAAUCUCAUGAGAUCACAGUAAAAUAGUUCAUGACCUCAACACUGCUAAUGCUGUUUGGCUGCUGUUCAUUUCUUCAUUUUUAUUAUUUAUUUUUUUAUCUGCAGCUGGGAGCAGCUGAGUAUAACUUUUUUACACAGAACUUACUCUGCUGAGCUGAGGAAAUUGUGAGGUAAAAUAUCUUCCUUUUUUACAUAGAGAUGCUCAGGUGAUAUUUUCAGCUUUUUACAGUUAUACUGCACCAGUUUCAAGUGAUUUAGCAUAUGAGUAUUAUGUCCCUUUAAGCCAAUUAGGGAUAGUUAUAAACAGAUAGAGUGUGCAAGCAAUGAUUAUGAUGAAUAUAGCAGUGUCAAGUCUGGAGUUUGCAUUUUCAUUUUUAAACGGAAUUGGGAAAGUCCACAAUAUUCAAAAUUAAAUUACAGGAAAAUGGGACAAAUUAAAUAAUAAAACUUUAUUGCAAAGUUUGGUUAGUCCAUAAAACUAAACGUGUUAUAUUAAAAUCCCCAAAUGUUUAAUGUCCCUUUAAGAACCACAAGAUUAGACACUGUAUGACCUUGUCACCCUCAGUUUGCAAAUACAGUGUGACAGAAUUCAUUAUAUGGAAAUAAAUCAGAUGUUUUUUAGACUCUUUAGAACCUCCCUUUAAAUCCUUCUGAUGCCCAGGUAACAAAUGUAUGGAUUAAAUGAUCUAUUAAAAUUUAGUUUUAUUAAUAUUCUACACACCUGAGUAAAAGAAACACAAUGUUAUACAGAGAUAUUAAUCAAAUUAGAUCCCAAAUGAUGUGAUUGCAUGUUUAGAAGCAAAUCAUAAAACAAAAACUUUUAGAUGUUUUUUUCCUAAUAAAUACAUAAUUUCUACUGAUUUAACCCCUUAACGAUCAAGAUGUACCCUGUACGUUGCUGGUCAUUAAGGUCAGCAGAGGAACCAUGCUAUUAUAACCUCUCUACCUCCAGCUGGCCACGGAAAUAGCAUGGUCCCGCCGCUGCCAGUUUUUCUAUUACAAAUUCAAGCCCCAUGGAAAGACCAGCAACAUACAGGGUACAUUGCUGGUCGUUAAGGGGUUAAAGAAUAACAAACAUGGCCCAAUUAUGAGAACAUGUUGUUUGCUCCUCUGCCUGUACUGUAAAUUGUUCCUUUAAGGGACGUUAAAGAUAUUUGAUAUAUAUAUAUAUAUAUAAACAAAUUAAAAGUUUGUCACAGACGGCUAAAGACCAGCGAGUGCUUAUUUCAACAAUAUAUAUAUAUAUUUAUAUAUAUUAUAUUAAAGGGGCAUUAAGCACUAAAUACAUUUUAUACAUCUCCCUAUAAUUAUGGGUGCCGCCAUUUUGGAUGCUAAGUUUCACUGCAGGUAUCUGAAGGAGAGUUGCUGCACACUUGCAAACACAUCAGCACUGCAUGUAGGGAAAGUAAGAUUUCAACAUGAUGGCACCGAUGACUGGAGGGAAACGGGGAAUAACUUCAUAUUAAUAUUUAGUGUUGAAUGUCCCUUUAAGCACAGCAUUACAGAAAUGUAAGGGACAGGAAACCCCCCCAAAAAGUUUUAUGAUUUGCAUAGAAUAUAUCAUUUUAAACAGCUUUCCAAUUUACUUCUAAUAUCAAAGAUCUGCAGGUAAAAUAAAUAUUUUAAAAGCAUUGAGAACAUUUUUAUUUUAUUGUAUUUUGCUGCAUUGUAAAAUACACAUUCCUCAAAAUGCUGCAUUAACAUUUUUUUUUUUUUCUUUAUUAUUUUUUUUAUUAGAAUUUUCAUAAAGAAAUUUAAUACAAAGUAAACAAUAUACAAUAUCAAUGCAGUUAUUACAAGUUAUCUGACACUUCAAUAGAAGGUGAAACAAACUCAAUGCUAUAUGUCCCAGUUGAUAUUUAAGAUAUUAUAAUCUAAGUCUUCUUACACAUUCCAUCAGGUACUAUGCUUCUCGCAUCUUAUUAUAUAUACUGCUUUGAAGUGACGUUGAAACUUGACUCAGUCCUGAACCCAACGUUGACAUCGACAUUAUAUGUGAUAAACUUAAUUACCAUAACAUAAACAUAAACAUUAACAUGAACAAGAAACAAAAAGGAAAUACAUCUAACUCCUGCAGAGAGCAUCUAUUCUUAAUCUUUGCCUGACUAUUUGUUCGGGACAGCUGAAUGCUGCAUUAACAUUUUAUUGUCUUGAAGGGCCAGGGAUUUGGACUCAGUAUGCACAGCCUUUCUGGGAGCAGAAAUGACAAAAAAAUGCAGGAAAUUCAUAAUAAAAACACAUUGCAUAGUUUUUUUUAAUUAUGCAUAAUUAAUGGUUAUGGGAUUAAAAAAAAUUGAGUUUAAUUUUAAGUGUCAGUUUGUCUUGAAAUUUUGAGCAUAUUUUAUAGUGUAUUUUUACUUAUAUUCAUUACAGUUUACUUAUACAUAUUUUUAUAUUUUUUUUAAGUAACAUAUUUACAUAUAGUUUUUACAUAUAGUUUUUUUCUUUUACAGAAUUCUCUUUCUAGUUUAAUUUUAUUUCCUUUACUGUAUCAAAUUAUUGUGUAAGGUCUCUUCUCAAAGUAUAAAACCACUUUAUCAUUUGAUUUUUCCGUAGUCUGUACACCACUCUUGUAGAGUUACAUUUCUGAGAUCAUUAUAAAUUAAUACAGAACCACAGUACAGUAAUAUAAAGCUUUAAAGGGACAGUCAACAACUUUCCAAUUUACUUUUAUCACCAAUUUUGCUUUGUUCUCUUGGUAUUCUUAGUUGAAAGCUAAACCUAGGAAGUUCAUAUGCUAAUUUCUUAGACUUUGAAGGCUGCCUCUAAUCUAAUUGCAUUUUGACAAUUUUUCACCACUAGAGGGUGUUAUUUCAUGUGUUUCAUAUAGAUAACAUUGAGCUCAUGCAUGUGCAUUUAUUGAGGAAUGAGCACUGAAUGGCUAAAAUGCAAAUCUGUCAAAAGAAAUUAAAUAAGGGGGCAGUCUGCAGAGGCUUAGAUACAAGGUAAUUACAGAGGUAAAAUGUGUAUUAUUAUAAUUGUGUUGGUUGUGCAAAACUGGGGAAUGGGUAAUUAAGGGAUUAUCUAUCUUUUAAAACAACAAAAAUUCUGGUGUUGACUGUCCCUUUAAGCAGUACUUUACCCACUACAAAUGCUUUGUGUGUAUUUCAAAUAAAAAAACAUUGUUUCUUGUGUUGAAUUCUUAAAGCAUAAAUAAAUUAAAAAAGGCAAAAAAA
Long non-coding RNA from Bombina bombina (fire-bellied toad), 5696 nucleotides. RefSeq lists it as uncharacterized. NCBI's taxonomy places the organism in Eukaryota, Metazoa, Chordata, Amphibia, Anura, Bombinatoridae. The record is from RefSeq and is a predicted model, not a curated record. The transcript is spliced from 2 exons.